ACACCCUUAAGCACACAAUCCCCGCCUCCAUAACCGCAAUUCCCCGCCAAAAGAAAGCAGCAGCUAUAACUGAAAAAGGAUUUGGCUAUCUGCUUUGCUUUUCAUGGUGUUUAUAUAAAUAAAACCCAACGGCAAACUCCCCACUGCAACUUCCAAGAAGCUUAAAAUCCAUUCCAGAAAAGAAAAUCAUCACUGAAUUAGAUCUCCCUCGAUCCAAUGCAGGCGCCGCCGGACAUCAGUAGUUGUGCGUUGAAUGAGCAGAACCGUCUCUUUCUAUGCCGUGUGUGCAAGAACCACGUCCUCGUUGCCUCCGGCGACAACUUCUUUAGCCGCAUCCGAAUGGCGGCGGAGGGUGGAGAGAUGGUGGACGGAAUCCUCUG
Molecule: long non-coding RNA, 380 nt
Organism: Hibiscus syriacus
Lineage: Eukaryota; Viridiplantae; Streptophyta; Magnoliopsida; Malvales; Malvaceae
Exons: 3
Source: RefSeq, a predicted model, not a curated record